UGUUGGGAGGUGCUGGGAGGGGCUGAUCUGGCGCUGCUAGGUGGCUGGUCUGACGCUGCUGGGAGGCUUUGCUGUGAGGCGCUGGUUCGCGAGAGUGGGAGGCACUGGUUCGCGGGACUGGGAGUGGGAGGGGCUGGGAGGGGUUGGGAGAGUAGAAGAAUUGGA
This is a non-coding RNA of Arachis ipaensis, 165 nucleotides long. The record is from RefSeq and is a predicted model, not a curated record. Lineage: Eukaryota; Viridiplantae; Streptophyta; Magnoliopsida; Fabales; Fabaceae.